UCCGGUUUGUCACCGGCAGUCUGAAGUGAGUCCCCAACUUAAUGCUGGCAACACUUCACGGGGGUUGCGCUCGUUGCGGGACUUAACCCAACAUCUCACGACACGAGCUGACGACAGCCAUGCAGCAUCUGUGGUGCACCCUCGAAGGUCACACGUUUCCGUGCGCUUGCAGCACCAUGUCAAGUCCAGGUAAGGUGGGGAUGACGUUUCCAGGUUAGG
RNAcentral lists this unclassified non-coding RNA (219 nucleotides) under uncultured Rubrobacterales bacterium. RNAcentral describes it as "contains 16S-23S intergenic spacer region". Lineage: Bacteria; Bacillati; Actinomycetota; Rubrobacteria; Rubrobacterales. The record is from RNAcentral.